Molecule: long non-coding RNA, 554 nt
Organism: Ornithorhynchus anatinus (platypus)
Lineage: Eukaryota; Metazoa; Chordata; Mammalia; Monotremata; Ornithorhynchidae
Exons: 3
Source: RefSeq, a predicted model, not a curated record
UUUCUGGGCUCAACGGAGCUGGGAGGGGUCUUGGUUUAUACACAGUAUUGCCCGCUCUCCUGAAUUUCUUUAUAACCAGAGCCUCCACUGUUAGGAUUGCUGAAUGUCCGGAAGGACGGAACUUCAUUUGCCUUCAUAAAAAUGAAACUUAUGGGAGACUCGGUGGCAGAGAAAAUUGGAGGGGUGGUAGGUAUUUUCCAUCUAAUUACCAAAGAGCUUCUGGAUGAUCGGAAUGGUGUUUUCACUCUGGAACUGGACGAUUACGGGGCCAUGUGUCUGCCAGCAUUAACUCCAACCCCUCUGUUCAGGAUCUUCAUCAUCUGCCAGAAAUGGAUGAGAGAUGCUGUCUCCCAUUUCCUCCUAAGAAGUCCCUGAGACUGGUAGAAAGAUUGAAGGCAGCCUUGCAAGAGACUCCUGCAGAAUAACAUUGACCGCGACUGUUAUUGGAAUCGUAUUUCCUCAAGACUCAAUCACCAUUCAGGAACGAUUUCCUGGAACAGCCUCCUGCCUGGCUCAUUCCAAGGCUUCAUUAAAUUGUGCUAAUGAGUAGCUCA